AGUUUGAUCCUGGCUCAGAUUGAACGCUGGCGGCAUGCCUAACACAUGCAAGUCGAACGGUAGCAGGCCUUCGGGCGCUGACGAGUGGCGGACGGGUGAGGAAUACAUAGGAAUCUGCCUUUUAGUGGGGGAUAACCCGGAGAAAUCCGGGCUAAUACCGCAUAAGCACUACGGUGGAAAGCAGGGGAUCGCAAGACCUUGCGCUAAUAGAUGAGCCUAUGUCUGAUUAGCUAGUUGGUGGGGUAAAGGCCUACCAAGGCGACGAUCAGUAGCUGGUCUGAGAGGACGACCAGCCACACUGGGACUGAGACACGGCCCAGACUCCUACGGGAGGCAGCAGUGGGGAAUAUUGGACAAUGGGGGCAACCCUGAUCCAGCAAUGCCGCGUGUGUGAAGAAGGCCUUCGGGUUGUAAAGCACUUUCAGCAGGGAGGAAAAGCUUGAGGCUAAUAUCCUUGAGUCUUGACGUUACUUGCAGAAGAAGCACCGGCUAACUCUGUGCCAGCAGCCGCGGUAAUACAGAGGGUGCAAGCGUUAAUCGGAAUUACUGGGCGUAAAGCGCGCGUAGGUGGUUUGAUAAGUCGGAUGUGAAAUCCCCGGGCUUAACCUGGGAACUGCAUUCGAAACUGUCUGGCUAGAGUUUGAGAGAGGGAAGUGGAAUUCCACAUGUAGCGGUGAAAUGCGUAGAUAUGUGGAGGAACAUCAGUGGCGAAGGCGGCUUCCUGGCUUAAAACUGACACUGUGGCGCGAAAGCGUGGGUAGCAAACAGGAUUAGAUACCCUGGUAGUCCACGCCGUAAACGAUGAGAACUAGACGUUGGGAGGUUUAACCUUUUAGUGUCGCAGCUAACGCAAUAAGUUCUCCGCCUGGGGAGUACGGCCGCAAGGCUAAAACUCAAAUGAAUUGACGGGGGCCCGCACAAGCGGUGGAGCAUGUGGUUUAAUUCGAUGCGACGCGAAAAACCUUACCUGCUCUUGACAUCUAUGGAAUCCUGCAGAGAUGCGGGAGUGCCUUCGGGAACCAUAAGACAGGUGCUGCAUGGCUGUCGUCAGCUCGUG
This 1057-nucleotide ribosomal RNA is filed under the name uncultured bacterium. RNAcentral describes it as "bacterial SSU rRNA". It matches the Rfam family "Bacterial small subunit ribosomal RNA", at positions 10 to 1064 of the family's 1533-position model. The record is from RNAcentral.